This 874-nucleotide ribosomal RNA is filed under the name Compsomyiops fulvicrura. Its description in RNAcentral is "eukaryotic LSU rRNA". It matches the Rfam family "Eukaryotic large subunit ribosomal RNA", at positions 151 to 851 of the family's 3401-position model. The record is from RNAcentral. Lineage: Eukaryota; Metazoa; Arthropoda; Insecta; Diptera; Calliphoridae.
UAUGGAAUGUCAAAUUUCUAGUAUGAGAAAUUAACGAUUUAAGUCCUUCUUAAAUGAGGCCAUUUACCCAAAGAGGGUGCCAGGCCCGUAUAACGUUAAUGAUUACUAGAUGGCAUUUCCAAAGAGUCGUGUUGCUUGAUAGUGCAGCACUAAGUGGGUGGUAAACUCCAUCUAAAACUAAAUAUAACCAUGAGACCGAUAGUAAACAAGUACCGUGAGGGAAAGUUGAAAAGAACUCUGAAUAGAGAGUUAAAUAGUACGUGAAACUGCUUAGAGGUUAAGCCCGAUGAACCUGAAUAUCCAUUAUAGAAAAUUCAUCAUUAUGAUUUUAAUAUUUAUAAUAUUAUAAUAAUGGUGUGCAUUUUUUCUAUAAAAGGACAUUGUAAUCUAUUAACAUGCAAAAAUUUAUCAUAAGAUCAAUUGCAAAAGUUUAUUCAAAUUAUUUUGCUUGCAAUUUAACAUAGAAUAAAUGCUUUUGAUUUGAUAAAGUGUUGAUAGAUUUAUUAUAUAUAGUGCUUAAAUAUUUAUAUUUUAUAAUAGCAUAUUAAUCAUUGAUUUUUAUGUUUAUUAUAUGCACUUAUAUGAUUAACAAUGCGAAAGAUUCAGGAUACCUUCGGGACCCGUCUUGAAACACGGACCAAGGAGUCUAACAUAUUUGCAAGUUAUUGGGAAUAAAAACCUAAUAGCGAAAUUAACAUAACUUAUUUAAUGGGAUUAAUUUUUAGCCUAUUUAUAGUCUAUUAAUUCAAUCCCGGGGCGUUCUAUAUAGUUAUGUAUAAUAAUAUUUAUAUUAUUUAUACCUCUAACUAGAGCGUACCUUGAGCAUAUAUGCUGUGACCCGAAAGAUGGUGAACUAUACUUGAUCAGGUUGAAG